ACGGGAGGCAGCAGUGGGGAAUAUUGCACAAUGGGCGCAAGCCUGAUGCAGCAACGCCGCGUGAGGGAAGACGGUUUUCGGAUUGUAAACCUCUGUCUUCGGUGACGAACAAUGACGGUAGCCGAGGAGGAAGCCACGGCUAACUACGUGCCAGCAGCCGCGGUAAUACGUAGGUGGCAAGCGUUAUCCGGAAUUACUGGGUGUAAAGGGAGCGCAGGCGGGACAGCAAGUCAGCGGUGAAAUUUAUGGGCUCGACCCAUAAACUGCCGUUGAAAUUGUUGUUCUUGAGUGGAGUAGAGGCAGGCGGAAUUCCGAGUGUAGCGGUGAAAUGCGUAGAUAUUCGGAGGAACACCAGUGGCGAAGGCGGCCUGCUGGGCUCUAACUGACGCUGAGGCUCGAAAGUGUGGGGAGCAAACAGGAUUAGAUACCCUGGUA
This 435-nucleotide ribosomal RNA is filed under the name uncultured Oscillospiraceae bacterium. RNAcentral describes it as "bacterial SSU rRNA". It matches the Rfam family "Bacterial small subunit ribosomal RNA", at positions 341 to 792 of the family's 1533-position model. Lineage: Bacteria; Bacillati; Bacillota; Clostridia; Eubacteriales; Oscillospiraceae. The record is from RNAcentral.